ACGGGAGGCAGCAGUGAGGAAUAUUGGUCAAUGGACGGAAGUCUGAACCAGCCAUGUCGCGUGAAGGAGGAAGGUGCUAUGCAUUGUAAACUUCUUUUAUCUGGGGGUAAAGUGGCCCACGUGUGGGCUAUUGCAAGUACCAGAUGAAUAAGCAUCGGCUAACUCCGUGCCAGCAGCCGCGGUAAUACGGAGGAUGCGAGCGUUAUCCGGAUUUAUUGGGUUUAAAGGGUGCGUAGGCGGGAGAUCAAGUCAGCGGUGAAAUUCUGUGGCUCAACCAUAGGGCUGCCGUUGAAACUGGUUUUCUUGAGUGCGGCAGAGGUAGGCGGAAUGUGUGGUGUAGCGGUGAAAUGCUUAGAUAUCACACAGAACACCGAUUGCGAAGGCAGCUUACUGGAGCGCAACUGACGCUGAGGCACGAAAGCGUGGGGAUCGAACAGGAUUAGAUACCCUGGUA
Molecule: ribosomal RNA, 454 nt
Filed under: uncultured Paludibacter sp.
Lineage: Bacteria; Pseudomonadati; Bacteroidota; Bacteroidia; Bacteroidales; Paludibacteraceae
Description: partial 16S ribosomal RNA
Rfam family: Bacterial small subunit ribosomal RNA
Source: RNAcentral